GGGUGAUCUAGCUGUGACAUCUGUCACUCCUUUGAUCGCCAGGGUUGAUUUAGCUGAUCUGGCUGGCUAGGCGGGUGUCCCCUUCCUCCCAUUUGUGUCCCUCCUGGAGCUAUAUAGUCGGUCAAAGAGGAUGGCAUUCCCCCAAUAGAGGAGGACCUGGACUUUGGCCAAGGGUAUUGGAGUAGCUGCGCUUCUCUGCUAGAACCUCCAAACAGCUUUCAAAAACAAACAGCUGAGCCAGGCAUGGUGGCACACGCCUGUACUCCCAGCACUUAGGAGGCAGAGGUAGGAG
Molecule: small nuclear RNA, 292 nt
Filed under: Jaculus jaculus (lesser Egyptian jerboa)
Lineage: Eukaryota; Metazoa; Chordata; Mammalia; Rodentia; Dipodidae
Description: 7SK RNA (ENSJJAG00000009107.1)
Rfam family: 7SK RNA
About the family: 7SK was discovered as an abundant small nuclear RNA in the mid-70s but a possible function has only recently been suggested. Two independent studies have found that 7SK RNA binds the CDK9/cyclin T complex (known as elongation factor P-TEFb).
Source: RNAcentral